Molecule: ribosomal RNA, 610 nt
Filed under: Draconematidae sp. 742_8-1500_O
Lineage: Eukaryota; Metazoa; Nematoda; Chromadorea; Desmodorida; Draconematidae
Description: eukaryotic LSU rRNA
Rfam family: Eukaryotic large subunit ribosomal RNA
Source: RNAcentral
GAGAGUUCAAGAGGGCGUGAAACCGCUUGGAAGCAAACAGAUGGACCUGACGGAGAGUCGCUGGGAUUCAGCCCACUGCGUUACCUCAGCCUACUGCUUGAAUGAACCUCAAGUUUGUGGGUACUGGUGUGGCCAGUGGGUGCAUUUCCUGGUGAUGCGCAUUGGAGCCUGUGUCAGUGCUGGAUGUACGGUUGCAUGUGCCGGCCAACCUUGUUGGUGUCCCAGUGCUUCCCAAAACCGAGUCAUUGGCACAGGACUGUAUAGACAGCCGCCUCUACUCCUUUGUGUUGGUUUGCUUGUGUCGUUGAACUGCAGUCUCAUGCUUGCAUGAUUCAGCUGAUCCUUCGCUUGCAGCUGGCGAUUUGGAGUUGCUGUCUUCCUCCGGUGUUUUAGUCAGUUACCCACCUGACCCGUCUUGAAACACGGACCAAGGAGUCUAACAUGUGCGCGAGUCACUGGGCUGCAAAACCCAAAGGCGCAAUGAAAGUAAAGUCUAGUUCGGCUGGACGACAUGGGACCCUUUGCUUGCCAGAGGUGCACCAUGGUCCCGUCUAUACUGCAUCGUCAGUUGGGCGGAGAUAGAGCGUACACGUUGGGACCCGAAAGAUGG